AACGAACGCUGGCGGCAUGCCUAACACAUGCAAGUCGAACGAGACCUUCGGGUCUAGUGGCGCACGUGUGCGUAACGCGUGGUAACCUGCCCUUAGGUUCGGAAUAACUCCCCGAAAGGGGUGCUAAUACCGGUUAAUGUCUUCGCACCAAAGAUUUCUCGCCUUUGGAUGGGCCCGCGUUGGAUUAGCUAGUUGGUAGGGUAAAAGCCUACCAAGGCGACGAUCCAUAGCUGGUCUGAGAGGAGGAUCAGCCACACUGGGACUGAGACACGGACCAGAAUCGGACGGGAGGCAGCAGUGGGGAAUAUAGGACAAUGGGCGAAAGCCUGAGCCAGCAAUGCCGCGUGAGUGAUGAAGGGCUUAGGGUUGUAAAGCUGUUUUACACGGGAUGAUAAUGACAGUACCGGGAGAAUAAGCUCCGGCUAACUCCGUG
This 433-nucleotide ribosomal RNA is filed under the name uncultured bacterium. RNAcentral describes it as "partial 16S ribosomal RNA". It matches the Rfam family "Bacterial small subunit ribosomal RNA", at positions 29 to 507 of the family's 1533-position model. The record is from RNAcentral.